RNAcentral lists this ribosomal RNA (513 nucleotides) under uncultured bacterium. Its description in RNAcentral is "partial 16S ribosomal RNA". It matches the Rfam family "Bacterial small subunit ribosomal RNA", at positions 28 to 523 of the family's 1533-position model. The record is from RNAcentral.
GAUGAACGCUGGCGGCGUGGAUAAGGCAUGCAAGUCGAGCGAACAGACGAGGAGCUUGCUCCUCUGACGUUAGCGGUGGACGGGUGAGUAACACGUGGAUAACCUACCUAUAAGACUGGGAUAACUUCGGGAAACCGGAGCUAAUACCGGAUAACAUGUUGAACCGCAUGGUUCAACAGUGAAAGACGGUCUUGCUGUCACUUAUAGAUGGAUCCGCGCCGCAUUAGCUAGUUGGUAAGGUAACGGGUUACCAAGGCAACGAGGCGUAGCCGACCUGAGAGGGUGAUCGGACACACUGGAACUGAGACACGGUCCAGACUCCUACGGGAGGCAGCAGUAGGGAAUCUUCCGCAAUGGGCGAAAGCCUGACGGAGCAACGCCGCGUGGGUGAAGAAGGUCUUCGGAUCGUAAAACUCUGUUAUUAGGGAAGAACAAAUGUGUAAGUAACUAUGCACGUCUUGACGGUACCUAAUCAGAAAGCCACGGCUAACUACGUGCCAGCAGCCGCCGUAA